Molecule: long non-coding RNA, 533 nt
Organism: Sorghum bicolor (sorghum)
Lineage: Eukaryota; Viridiplantae; Streptophyta; Magnoliopsida; Poales; Poaceae
Exons: 2
Source: RefSeq, a predicted model, not a curated record
UCUAGAUUGCUUAGAGGCUAAGUAUAAUAGGGAAUAUAAUAUAUAGGGGCAUUGGAACUGUUUCAAUUUAAGCAAGAAUUAGAAACCUCUCCUCUAUCACUUCUCUCUCUCACACACAUCGUCGUCUCUCUCCCUCCUCUCUGCGCCUACAUCCUCUCCCUACCCUAAGCCGACACCGCCGCCUUCACCAGAAGUAGCCGAUGCAAUAGGGCCUCCGCUCCCACAACCCGCUCCACCACCCCUAACCAUCCAGCCCCAAGAAAGGCCGUGAGAGGGUGAUUACAUCCGGUGGCUACAACGCCCUCAGUGGCACUCCUGUUGACAUUGCGGCAGCUCCACAGCCACCAAUCGAAAGCAACAUCAAGGCAAUGUCCUUCAAAGGGUCAUGGACAGUGGAAGAGGAUAGCAUUUUGAGGGAUAUGGUAAUACGUCUUGGUGAAGGAAAGUGGUGCAUGAUAGCAAAAUCUUUACCCGGUCGGAUUGGCAAGCAGUGUCGUGAAAGAUGGAUCAAUCAUCUGAACCCCAACAUCAAG